GGACUACUAGGGUUUCUAAUCCUGUUUGCUCCCCACGCUUUCGCAUCUCAGCGUCAGCAAUGAUCCAGCGAGUCGCCUUCGCCACUGGUGUUCCUGCGAAUAUCUACGAAUUUCACCUCUACACUCGCAAUUCCACUCGCCUCUAUCAUGCUCCAGGCCGCCAGUAUCGAAGGCAAUUCCAGAGUUGAGCUCUGGGCUUUCACCCCCGACUUAACGGCCCGCCUACAUGCGCUUUACGCCCAGUAAUUCCGAACAACGCUAGCCCCCUUCGUAUUACCGCGGCGGCUGGCAC
RNAcentral lists this ribosomal RNA (292 nucleotides) under uncultured bacterium. RNAcentral describes it as "partial 16S ribosomal RNA". The record is from RNAcentral.